CUUAGGAUUUCUAAAUGUAUUCUUUUUCAGCUUAAGAAAACAAUUAGGCAGCUACAUCAGACCAUGGUGCUCAUGACAAACACUGGAGGCCCAGAAGUAGAGAAAGAAUUUUAGUGUGCGUAUUAGUUCAAGGUUGUUGUUUUGUUUUCUUUUGUUUUUUGAGACGGAGUCUCGCUCUAUCGCCAGGCUGGAGUGCAGUGUGGUGCGAUCUUGGCCCACUGCAACCUCCGCCUCCCGGGUUCAAGCAAUUCUCCUGCCUCAGCCUCCCAAGUAGCUGGGACUACAGAAAUCCCCAGCUUCCUGACUGAUGAAGAGUGUCGGCUCAUCAUCCAUCUGGCGCAGAUGAAGGGGUUACAGCGCAGCCAGAUCCUGCCCACUGAAGAGUAUGAAGAGGCAAUGAGCACUAUGCAGGUCAGCCAGCUGGACCUCUUCCAGCUGCUGGACCAGAACCGUGAUGGGCACCUGCAGCUCCGCGAGGUUCUGGCCCAGACUCGCCUGGGAAAUGGAUGGUGGAUGACUCCAGAGAGCAUUCAGGAGAUGUACGCCGCGAUCAAGGCCGACCCUGAUGGUGA
RNAcentral lists this small RNA (572 nucleotides) under Pongo abelii (Sumatran orangutan). RNAcentral describes it as "processed transcript". The record is from RNAcentral. Lineage: Eukaryota; Metazoa; Chordata; Mammalia; Primates; Hominidae.